Molecule: long non-coding RNA, 837 nt
Filed under: Pan troglodytes (chimpanzee)
Lineage: Eukaryota; Metazoa; Chordata; Mammalia; Primates; Hominidae
Description: lncRNA (ENSPTRG00000053992.1)
Source: RNAcentral
CACUAAGAUGCCCCUUCCACACUCCAUUAAAUUGACUUCAUUUUCUUGACAAUGAGAUUUCCAUUUAGUUUUCAUCAACUGCUUAGAUUUCCUCAUCUUCAAAUGCCUCAUUUUCAAAAGCAAUAGGAAGUCUAUGCUUCAUACUAUAUAAUGUGCAAGGCUUCCAUUUAAUGAAUUGUUUGGCUAAUUUUUUUAGGCAAAUAAGCACAUUAAUUUGUACAAGCUAUUAAUACCAAUUAUUAACGCUUUUCAUUUUGUUGGUUUCAGCAAUCUCUGCAUGACACAUACUGCAACAAAAUGGAAAUUGAUUUCACCAAGUUUGGCAACUCUGCAGUGUUUUGUAACCUUUGCAACGACGCUUAUUUGAAAGGCUGGGUUUCAUUAUCCUUCUUUUGCCUGCUUCUCAAGAUGUUGCUGUAUUUGGAGAUAAAAGGACACUUCUAGAAGAAACUUCGGGUUAAUCAUGAUAACAGUUGUUCAACGUCAAUUCAGCAUCGUCAGUUUUCCAUGAUCUGCCUUAAUUCAGGGUCAUAUUCCUGCAUAUUUGGCAGAUUCCCUAUAAUUAUGGAAUGAAUAUAUAAAUGAGUAAAGAGAAGGGAACAUGAACAAAAUACUUCCUAAUAGCAGAUAAUCCAAAAGCCAUUUUUCUUGGAUGUUGCAAAACAUUAUACGGCUUUCUUUUUUCUGGUGUAGAUUUACUUCCUUAAUUACAUUUUGUUUGGGUUAAUACUAAAGUUCAUGUUUUUAUUUUUGCACUUUCACACUAAUUUUGUGAAUUUACAAAUGUAGAGGGUGCUGAAUAGCAAGAAAACAUCAAGAGUAGACUAAAAAUGUCCC